AAAGGAGGAAGAAGAAGAAGAAGAUGAAGAAGAAGGAUUGAAG
Molecule: small RNA, 43 nt
Filed under: Arabidopsis thaliana (thale cress)
Lineage: Eukaryota; Viridiplantae; Streptophyta; Magnoliopsida; Brassicales; Brassicaceae
Description: ATSL181860
Source: RNAcentral